RNAcentral lists this ribosomal RNA (451 nucleotides) under uncultured bacterium. RNAcentral describes it as "partial 16S ribosomal RNA". It matches the Rfam family "Bacterial small subunit ribosomal RNA", at positions 29 to 523 of the family's 1533-position model. The record is from RNAcentral.
AACGAACGCUGGCGGCAGGCCUAAUACAUGCAAGUCGAACGGAUGUAGCAAUACAUUAGUGGCGCACGGGUGCCUAACGCGUGGGAACAUACCCUUGAGUAAGGAAUAAUGUCUGGAAACGGACACUAAUACCUUAUAAUGACUUCGGUCCAAAGAUUUAUCGCUCAAGGAUUGGCCCGCGUCUGAUUAGCUAGUUGGUGAGGUAACGGCUCACCAAGGCGACGAUCAGUAGCUGGUCUGAGAGGAUGAUCAGCCACGCUGGGACUGAGACACGGCCCAGAAUCCUACGGGAGGCAGCAGUAAGGAAUAUUGGACAAUGGGGGAAACCCUGAUCCAGCCAUGCCGCGGGAGUGAAGAAGGCCUUAGGGUUGUAAAGCUCUUUCAAUAGUGAAGAUAAUGACGGUAGCUAUAGAAGAAGCCCCGGCUAAAUGCGUGCCAGCCGCCGCAGUAA